ACUUCUCGUGGUAACGCCUUGCUGAAUUAUUCACCCUUGUCUUUUGCGUACUUCUUGUUUCCUUGGUGGGUUCGCCCACCACUAGGACAAACAUAAACCUUUUGUAAUUGCAAUCAGCGUCAGUAACAAAUUAAUAAUUACAACUUUCAACAACGGAUCUCUUGGUUCUGGCAUCGAUGAAGAACGCAGCGAAAUGCGAUAAGUAGUGUGAAUUGCAGAAUUCAGUGAAUCAUCGAAUCUUUGAACGCACAUUGCGCCCUUUGGUAUUCCAAAGGGCAUGCCUGUUCGAGCGUCAUUUGUACCCUCAAGCUUUGCUUGGUGUUGGGCGUCUUGUCUCUAGCUUUGCUGGAGACUCGCCUUAAAGUAAUUGGCAGCCGGCCUACUGGUUUCGGAGCGCAGCACAAGUCGCACUCUCUAUCAGCAAAGGUCUAGCAUCCAUUAAGCCUUUUUUCAACUUUUGACCUCGGAUCAGGUAGGGAUACCCGCUGA
This 489-nucleotide ribosomal RNA is filed under the name Alternaria brassicicola. RNAcentral's name for it is "eukaryotic LSU rRNA". The stretch from base 142 to 295 matches the Rfam family "5.8S ribosomal RNA". Lineage: Eukaryota; Fungi; Ascomycota; Dothideomycetes; Pleosporales; Pleosporaceae. The record is from RNAcentral.